GUAGGGACCAAGCGUUGUUCGGAUUUACUGGGCGUAAAGGGCGCGUAGGCGGCAAUUCAAGUCAGCUGUGAAAUCUCCGGGCUUAACUCGGAACGGUCAGCUGAUACUGCUUUGCUAGAGUGCAGAAAGGGCAAUCGGAAUUCUUGGUGUAGCGGUGAAAUGCGUAGAUAUCAAGAGGAACACCUGAGGCGAAGGCGGGUUGCUAGGCUGACACUGACGCUGAGGCGCGAAAGCUAGGGUAGCAAACGGGAUUAGAUACCCCGGUAGUCCUAGCCCUAAACGAUGAAUACUUGGUGUCUGGAGUUUUUAUCCUCCGGGUGCCGUCGCUAACGUUUUAAGUAUUCCGCCUGGGGAGUACGCACGCAAGUGUGAA
RNAcentral lists this ribosomal RNA (373 nucleotides) under uncultured bacterium. RNAcentral's name for it is "bacterial SSU rRNA". It matches the Rfam family "Bacterial small subunit ribosomal RNA", at positions 527 to 898 of the family's 1533-position model. The record is from RNAcentral.